AACGAACGCUGGCGGCAUGCCUAACACAUGCAAGUCGAACGAGACGUUCGUGUUUUGUUGCGCUCGUCUGCGUAACGCGUGGGAACCUGCCCUUAGGUUCGGAAUACCUCACUGAGAGGGGUCCUCAUACCAGAUAAUCUCUUCGGGCCAAAGAUUUCUGGCCUUUGGAUGGGCGCGGGUUGGUUUAGCCAGUUGGUAGGGGAAAAGCCUGCCAAGGGGGCGAUGCAGAGCUGGUCGGGGAGGAUGAUCAGCCGCGCUGGGGCUGAGACACGGGCCAGACUCGGACGGGAGGCAGGAGUGGGGAAUAUGGGACGAUGAGCGAUAGUCUGAUCCAGCAACGCGGGGUGAGUGAUGAAGGCGGUAGGGUUGUAAUGCUCUUUGACCCGAGAUGAUAAUGACAGUACCGGGAGAAGAAGCACCGGCUAACUACGUG
RNAcentral lists this ribosomal RNA (433 nucleotides) under uncultured bacterium. RNAcentral describes it as "partial 16S ribosomal RNA". It matches the Rfam family "Bacterial small subunit ribosomal RNA", at positions 28 to 507 of the family's 1533-position model. The record is from RNAcentral.